This 51-nucleotide transfer RNA is filed under the name Hydrosaurus pustulatus. RNAcentral describes it as "partial tRNA-Met". The record is from RNAcentral. Lineage: Eukaryota; Metazoa; Chordata; Lepidosauria; Squamata; Agamidae.
AGCUUUCGGGCCCAUACCCCAAAAACGGUGACUAACACCUCCUAAUACCUC